Molecule: non-coding RNA, 73 nt
Organism: Zootermopsis nevadensis
Lineage: Eukaryota; Metazoa; Arthropoda; Insecta; Blattodea; Termopsidae
Source: Rfam
GCCACGGUGGUCUAGCGGUUAGAACGCUGGCCUUGUAAUCCUGGGGUCCCGGGUUCGAUUCCCGGCGGUGCCU